AUAGGAGUGAUUCUGAUUUAAUAACAUUGAUUAUGAUGCGAAUUAAAUUUUGUUUCACUUGGCAACAAAUAUUUUGAUUUUCAAAAUUUAAGUACGUUGAUUUGUGAUGGAUUGUAAACAAUAUUAUUUAGUUUGAUCAAUAACUGAAAAAAAAUUUAGUCCACAUUAAAUUUUAAAAUUGAAGUUGCAUGUUUUUAAGUUUAACUAUUCAUUCAUAAAAAAAAAAAAAAAAACUCCAGUACGUGGUUUUCACUAUUUUGGAGAUAAUUUAUCAGUUCUUCUUCUUUAUUUUUGUUUUUUU
RNAcentral lists this long non-coding RNA (301 nucleotides) under Brassica rapa (field mustard). RNAcentral describes it as "long non-coding RNA (BRAP_LNC007059)". Lineage: Eukaryota; Viridiplantae; Streptophyta; Magnoliopsida; Brassicales; Brassicaceae. The record is from RNAcentral.